This 128-nucleotide small nucleolar RNA is filed under the name Echinops telfairi (small Madagascar hedgehog). Its description in RNAcentral is "Small nucleolar RNA SNORA61 (ENSETEG00000026848.1)". Lineage: Eukaryota; Metazoa; Chordata; Mammalia; Afrosoricida; Tenrecidae. The record is from RNAcentral.
ACCCUCCAGUUUCCCAGGUUCUUUCCCCAUCUGAUGUCAACCCUGGUCUGAGUGGUCACAAAAGAGGAAAAACAACACCGAAACAGACUUCAAUGCUUUUGUAGCACAUGCACUAGUUUCAAAUAAUU